Molecule: ribosomal RNA, 128 nt
Filed under: uncultured bacterium
Lineage: Bacteria
Description: partial 16S ribosomal RNA
Rfam family: Bacterial small subunit ribosomal RNA
Source: RNAcentral
CCGGGGUGAAUACGUUCCCGGGCCUUGUACACACCGCCCGUCACACCACGAAAGUCGGCAACACCCGAAGCCGGUGGCCCAACCCUUUUGGGGGGGAGCCGUCGAAGGUGGGGUCGGUGAUUGGGGUG